AACGAACGCUGGCGGCAUGCCUAACACAUGCAAGUCGAACGAUGCCUUCGGGCAUAGUGGCGCACGGGUGCGUAACGCGUGGGAAUCUGCCUUUCGGUUCGGAAUAACUCAGGGAAACAUGAGCUAAUACCGGAUAACGUCGCAAGACCAAAGAUUUAUCACCGAAAGAUGAGCCCGCGUAGGAUUAGCUAGUUGGUGAGGUAAAGGCUCACCAAGGCGACGAUCCUUAGCUGGUCUGAGAGGAUGAUCAGCCACACUGGGACUGAGACACGGCCCAGACUCCUACGGGAGGCAGCAGUGGGGAAUAUUGGACAAUGGGCGAAAGCCUGAUCCAGCAAUGCCGCGUGAGUGAUGAAGGCCUUAGGGUUGUAAAGCUCUUUUACCCGGGAAGAUAAUGACGGUACCGGGAGAAUAAGCCCCGGCUAACUCCGUG
RNAcentral lists this ribosomal RNA (433 nucleotides) under uncultured bacterium. RNAcentral's name for it is "partial 16S ribosomal RNA". It matches the Rfam family "Bacterial small subunit ribosomal RNA", at positions 29 to 507 of the family's 1533-position model. The record is from RNAcentral.